Molecule: unclassified non-coding RNA, 254 nt
Filed under: uncultured Cytophagales bacterium
Lineage: Bacteria; Pseudomonadati; Bacteroidota; Sphingobacteriia; Sphingobacteriales
Description: contains 16S-23S intergenic spacer region
Rfam family: Bacterial small subunit ribosomal RNA
Source: RNAcentral
UACGUAGGUGGCGAGCGUUAUCCGGAUUUAUUGGGUUUAAAGGGAGCGUAGGCGGCUUAAUAAGUCAGUGGUGAAAGGUAGCAGCUUAACUGUUUUACAUGCCAUUGAUACUGUUGAGCUUGAGUUGUUAGAAGGCAGAUAGAAUUUCUGAUGUAGCGGUGAAAUGCUUAGAUAUCAGGAGGAAUACCGAUUGCGAAGGCAGUCUGCUGCAUACAUACUGACGCUGAGGCUCGAAAGUGCGGGGAUCAAACAGG